AUCACGUCUCCGUCUCUGCCCUCCCUUUUAUUUUUGCUUCUUGCGCAACUUUGAGUUAGAUCCGAUUAAGACUCGAGGAAUCGACCGCACUCCGGAGCUGGGAGGGGGAACGAUGCGAUCUGCGCUCCCUCGGCGGGGACAGAAUCCACACCGAUUUGGGGAGCAGCUCUUCAGCCACUGCGAGGUGCAGUUGAGGAUCCUGGCAAUGAGUUUCCUUGUGACUGUAGAGACACCCUUCCACAGUUACCAAGAUCAGAUUUGUCUCCUUUGAAGAUGAUCAUAAUUACAGCAUCUGAGAUCCACUGACGUGUCCUCAUCUUCCCAAACAGUGGAGAUGAGAUGGAGUGUUCUGCGGGCAGCCCACAAGUGUCGCCACGCUUCCGGCGCCAAUGUAGCGUGCCCACGACUUCCUAACCCGUACGUCUUUGGAAUGUGGGAGGAAAUCGGAGCACCUAGAGGAAACCCACACAGACACGGGGAGAACGUACAAACUCCUUAUAAACAGCAGCCGGAAUUGGAACCAGGUCGCUGGCACGGUUAUAGCAUCAUGCUAACUGCUACACUAAUGUGCCUGCCCAUGGCAACAUCCAGACACUUGUACGAGGGAGGUCUGAAAUGCUAGUAAACUCUUGUGCCUAGUUUGUUUGUCUCAUUAUCUGACCUGAUGGAAGAGCAGAUGAAGUCUCCUCUACUUGUGCAUAGAAUUUGGUUGACUCUCCUAAUGCAAUAUUAGUAAUAAACUUGAGAUGUGGCACAGAUCGGUGUCCUGGAAUGAUCCAUAGAUUAGGAAGCUAAGAGUGACAAUGAUUUGCCUUUGGCUGCAAGACCAGUCCAUGCAUGAAUGCAUAUAAGGCUGUAUUUCAGCUUACAAGAGGUCCCAAUGUGGACUGUUUGGUGAAGCAUGUAUUACAUAAACAUUACUCCUCAGAGAAGUCUGGAUAAGAGCAUGCAUCCUCGUAAUCCCUGAAUAGAUUAGGUCUUCAUUUGUGAUCCCUUCUGUACUUCACCUCAAGUGGUUCCUGAACCUGCCUGUGGUUCUUUUGACACCCAUAUUCUAGUCCCAUCCCACAGAGCAAGAGUGGAGUUAGAUGUAGAUAAAUACCCAUUGGAAGUUAUGUUUGAAUCCAAAAAUGUAGUUGGAGGUACAAGUAAGAUCCAGUCUUAUGUGAGAGCAAUGUAUAGAGUAAGCAGUGAGGUUGCAGAAUGCUAUGCAGCAGCUUGACAAACAAUGCAGUUUGAGUGUUGUGAAUGCAAAAUGCAUGUUACACCACUGCUGAUGUCAUCGAGGUGAAUUUCCCACCAGAUCCAUAUCCUAACGCCAACAAAAAUCCCGAAGGGAAGUCGGGAGUCAGUUUCUCCCCCAGUCAUUAAGAGGCCUGGAAAUGGCCACAAUUUUGCUCUGCUCUUGGUUAAUCCUAUUCUCAAUUGCACAGCACUUUUUUCAAAAUUAUGUGAACAAAUUUCAA
Long non-coding RNA from Pristis pectinata (smalltooth sawfish), 1466 nucleotides. RefSeq lists it as uncharacterized. The record is from RefSeq and is a predicted model, not a curated record. The transcript has 3 exons. Lineage: Eukaryota; Metazoa; Chordata; Chondrichthyes; Rhinopristiformes; Pristidae.